CCUACGGGAGGCAGCAGUAGGGAAUAUUGCUCAAUGGGGGAAACCCUGAAGCAGCAACGCCGCGUGGAGGAUGAAGGUUUUAGGAUUGUAAACUCCUUUUGUUAGGGAAGAUUAUGACGGUAUGUCACGAAUAAGCACCGACUAACUCCGUGCCAGCAGCCGCGGUUAUACGGAGGGUGCAAACGUUACUCGGAAUCAAGGGGCGUAAAGAGUGCGAAGGCGGGGUAAUAAGUCAGAUGUGAAAUCCUGUGGCUUAACUACAGAACUGCAUUUGAAACUGUUACUCUGGAGUGUUGGAGAGGUAGGUGGAAUUCUUGGUGUAGGGGUAAAAUCCGCAGAGAUCAAGAGGAAUCCUCAUUGCGAAGGCGACCUGCUGGAACAUUACUGACGCUGAUGCACGAAAGCGUGGGGAGCAAACAGGAUUAGAUACCCUGGUAGUC
RNAcentral lists this ribosomal RNA (440 nucleotides) under uncultured bacterium. Its description in RNAcentral is "partial 16S ribosomal RNA". It matches the Rfam family "Bacterial small subunit ribosomal RNA", at positions 338 to 795 of the family's 1533-position model. The record is from RNAcentral.